This 240-nucleotide unclassified non-coding RNA is filed under the name soil metagenome. RNAcentral describes it as "partial contains 5.8S ribosomal RNA, internal transcribed spacer 2, and large subunit ribosomal RNA". The record is from RNAcentral.
AACACUGUUAACCUGCGGUACCUGCGGAAGGAUCAUUACGAGAGUGUCACCACUCCCAACCCAUUGUCUACCUACCUGUGGAAACGUGCUCCGGCAGGCAGCCCUGUGGGACAGAGCCUCGCCCCCCGCACGGGGGGUGCCUGCCGGCGGCCGACACAUAACUCUUGCUGUAUUGUACCGUCUGAGUCUUCUGAAAAUGAACAAAACUUUUAGCAAUGGAUCUCAGAUCGGAAGAGCACA